This 253-nucleotide ribosomal RNA is filed under the name uncultured bacterium. RNAcentral's name for it is "partial 16S ribosomal RNA". It matches the Rfam family "Bacterial small subunit ribosomal RNA", at positions 524 to 776 of the family's 1533-position model. The record is from RNAcentral.
UACGAAGGGGGCUAGCGUUGUUCGGAAUUACUGGGCGUAAAGCGCACGUAGGCGGACUAUUAAGUCAGGGGUGAAAUCCCGGGGCUCAACCCCGGAACUGCCUUUGAUACUGGUAGUCUCGAGUCCGGAAGAGGUGAGUGGAAUUCCGAGUGUAGGGGUGAAAUUCGUAGGUACUAGGAAGAACACCAGUGGCGAAGGCGGCUCACUGGUCCGGUACUGACGCUGAGGUGCGAAAGCGUGGGGAGCAAACAGG